CAAACCUGGAACCAAACGCGGCAGCUGAAGUUCUCAGGGACACAUUUGCUUCUCCCCCUGAAGAACCAGUUACAAAGCAUGAAUUCCUCUCUGAGGUCCCAUCAGAACAAAGAAACAGGCUGUACAAGAAGCAUGAUGCCAGCAUCUGCUUCUGGUGACGACCUCAAGAAGUUUACAAUUGGCCGGGUGCGGAGGCUCAUGCCUGUAAUCAGCACUUUGGGAGGCAGAGAUGGAUGGAUCAUUUGAGAUUCAAGAAAAUUAUUUUUUCUUUUGAGCUGUUCAUAGCUUACAGUAAUUGGAUAAAUUACACUUUUGUGAGAACAAUUGAAACACUAACUUUUCUGUCUACCUGAUGUCUCCAGAAUUUGGAAAGUAUUUAAACACCUUUUAUUAAAAAUCUGUUUGCCUGCUUCAUAUAUAGAGUCCUAACCCAUCUGUAAUGCCACCUCCUGGAAUGGGACAUAGCUGUUUAACUGAACUGAUCUAUUCUCGGGACUAAGCGACUGAUAAAAAAGAUAUAAAAUGAUAUAUUCAAAUUU
Molecule: non-coding RNA, 539 nt
Organism: Chlorocebus sabaeus (green monkey)
Lineage: Eukaryota; Metazoa; Chordata; Mammalia; Primates; Cercopithecidae
Source: RefSeq, a predicted model, not a curated record